AGAGUUUGAUCAUGGCUCAGAACGAACGUUGGCGGCGUGGAUUAGGCAUGCAAGUCGAACGAAUCCCACCGGGGUAACUCGGUGGGGGAAGUGGCGAAAGGGGCAGUAAGGCGUGGGUAACCUACCCCGGGGACCGGGAUAGCCAUCCUAACGGGUGGGUAAUACCGGGCGAGGUAACGAGGUCGCAUGGCCUUGUUACGAAAGGAAUUUCGCCUCGGGAGGGGCUCACGUGGUAUUAGCUGGUUGGUGGGGUAACGGCCUACCAAGGCCAAGAUGCCUAGCGGGUGUGAGAGCACGACCCGCGCCACUGGCACUGCGACACUGGCCAGACUCCUACGGGAGGCUGCAGUCGAGGAUCUUCGGCAAUGGGCGCAAGCCUGACCGAGCGACGCCGCGUGCGCGAUGAAGGCCUUCGGGUUGUAAAGCGCUGUCGAGGGGGAGGAAAGCCGCAAGGCCUGACCUAUCCCUGGAGGAAGCACGGGCUAAGUUCGUGCCAGCAGCCGCGGUAAGACGAACCGUGCGAACGUUGUUCGGAAUCACUGGGCUUAAAGGGCGCGUAGGCGGACCACCCAGUCCGGGGUGAAAUCUUUCGGCUUAACCGGAAAAGGGCCUUGGAUACUGGUGGUCUCGAGGAAGGUAGGGGCAUGCGGAACUUCCGGUGGAGCGGUGAAAUGCGUUGAUAUCGGAAGGAACGCCGGUGGCGAAAGCGGCGUGCUGGACCUUUGCUGACGCUGAGGCGCGAAAGCCAGGGGAGCGAACGGGAUUAGAUACCCUAGUAGUCC
This 782-nucleotide ribosomal RNA is filed under the name uncultured bacterium. RNAcentral describes it as "partial 16S ribosomal RNA". It matches the Rfam family "Bacterial small subunit ribosomal RNA", at positions 8 to 796 of the family's 1533-position model. The record is from RNAcentral.